UAAAAAAAGGUAAGCUACUAAGAGCGAAUGGUGGAUGCCUUGACUGGUAAAGGCGAUGAAGGACGUACUAGACUGCGAUAAGCUACGGGGAGCUGUCAAGAAGCUUUGAUCCGUAGAUUUCCGAAUGGGGCAACCCAAUGUAUAGAGAUAUACAUUACCUAUAUAGGAGCGAACGAGGGGAAUUGAAACAUCUUAGUACCCUCAGGAAAAGAAAUCAAUAGAGAUUGCGUCAGUAGCGGCGAGCGAAAGCGCAAGAGGGCAAACCCAGUGCUUGCACUGGGGGUUGUAGGACUGCAAUGUGCAAGAGGUAAGUUUAGCAGAACAUUCUGGAAAGUAUAACCAUAGAGGGUGAUAGUCCCGUAUGCGAAAAACAAACCUUAGCUAGCAGUAUCCUGAGUAGGGCGGGACACGAGGAAUCCUGUCUGAAUCCGGGUCGACCACGAUCCAACCCUAAAUACUAAUACCAGAUCGAUAGUGCACAAGUACCGUGAGGGAAAGGUGAAAAGAACUGAGGUGAUCAGAGUGAAAUAGAACCUGAAACCAUUUGCUUACAAUCAUUCAGAGCCCUAUGUAGCAAUACAGGGUGAUGGACUGCCUUUUGCAUAAUGAGCCUGCGAGUUGUGGUGUCUGGCAAGGUUAAGCAAACGCGAAGCCGUAGCGAAAGCGAGUCUGAAUAGGGCGCUUAGUCAGAUGCUGCAGACCCGAAACGAAGUGAUCUAUCCAUGAGCAAGUUGAAGCUAGUGUAAGAACUAGUGGAGGACUGAACCCAUAGGCGUUGAAAAGCCCCGGGAUGACUUGUGGAUAGGGGUGAAAGGCCAAUCAAACUUCGUGAUAGCUGGUUCUCUCCGAAAUAUAUUUAGGUAUAGCGUUGUGUCGUAAUAUAAGGGGGUAGAGCACUGAAUGGGCUAGGGCAUACACCAAUGUACCAAACCCUAUCAAACUCCGAAUACCUUAUAUGUAAUCACAGCAGUCAGGCGGCGAGUGAUAAAAUCCGUCGUCAAGAGGGAAACAACCCAGACUACCAGCUAAGGUCCCUAAAUCUUACUUAAGUGGAAAACGAUGUGAAGUUACUUAAACAACCAGGAGGUUGGCUUAGAAGCAGCCAUCCUUUAAAGAAAGCGUAAUAGCUCACUGGUCUAGUGAUUUUGCGCGGAAAAUAUAACGGGGCUAAAGUAAGUACCGAAGCUGUAGACUUGCGCACAACUUAGAUUAUUUAAGUUUAGAAUAUGAGAAACUAAGUUAUGUUUAGUUAUAUUUUUACUGAUUUUUAUAGAGUAAAGAUAGAAAUAAAACUUAGUAAAAUCAGUAAAAAUAUUCUUAGGCUAAAGUUAAGUAGUUUAAGUUGUGUGCAAGUGGUAGGAGAGCGUUCUAUUUGCGUCGAAGGUAUACCGGUAAGGAGUGCUGGAGCGAAUAGAAGUGAGCAUGCAGGCAUGAGUAGCGAUAAUUAAUGUGAGAAUCAUUAACGCCGUAAACCCAAGGUUUCCUACGCGAUGCUCGUCAUCGUAGGGUUAGUCGGGUCCUAAGUCGAGUCCGAAAGGGGUAGACGAUGGCAAAUUGGUUAAUAUUCCAAUACCAACAUUAGUGUGCGAUGGAAGGACGCUUAGGGCUAAGGGGGCUAGCGGAUGGAAGUGCUAGUCUAAGGUCGUAGGAGGUUAUACAGGCAAAUCCGUAUAACAAUACUCCGAGAACUGAAAGGCUUUUUGAAGUCUUCGGAU
This 1715-nucleotide ribosomal RNA is filed under the name Campylobacter jejuni. Its description in RNAcentral is "partial 23S ribosomal RNA". It matches the Rfam family "Bacterial large subunit ribosomal RNA", at positions 1 to 1586 of the family's 2925-position model. Lineage: Bacteria; Pseudomonadati; Campylobacterota; Epsilonproteobacteria; Campylobacterales; Campylobacteraceae. The record is from RNAcentral.